This is a non-coding RNA of Phytophthora infestans T30-4, 74 nucleotides long. The record is from the annotation of a RefSeq genome assembly. NCBI's taxonomy places the organism in Eukaryota, Oomycota, Peronosporomycetes, Peronosporales, Peronosporaceae.
ACGCCCUUAUAGCUUAAUUGUCAACCGUUGAUUUUGGAAGCCACAGGUUGGUGGUUCGAUUCCACCCGGGCGUU